CAAAUAUGAACUUGAGGAUGUUUUUGUAGUUGGCCAUGUACACACUGAAGCCAUACCUCAAUUCUUUAAAAUCAAGUAUAUUUUGAAUGUUGAUACUUGUUGGGUAUUGUGUGGGAAACUGUUACUUCCUUGCACUUGUGAAUGUCAUUUCCAUGCUUACCAAGUGGCAGUUGACAAUGACUGGAUCCUGUUCAAUCCAGGAAAUGAAUUAGACUUUCAAGCUCUAGACACCUAUGAAGUUGAUGAUAGGCGGUUUGUGUCCUUGAGGUAUUCUGUGUGACGUGAUUGCAAGAACAUUUUUAUGUAUGUUUGUAUGUAUGUGUGUGUGUGCGUGCGUGCGUAUGUAUGUGCGUGCUUGUUGAAGUAGAGCAAAACAUUUGUGUGGACAGUUUUUUAAAUACAUGCCAUCUCUGUGAUCCGUCAAAACAUUGUGUUCAGGUGUUUAAUGUCUUUAUGUGAUUGUUUACUUUCUUUCUUCUUCUUUUUUUUUUUUUUUUUUUAAAUGAAUGUAUUUUUCUUGACAUGUCCUAUGGCAGGGGUGUCAAACUCAAAUACACAGUGGGCCAAAAUUCAAAUCUAGAACAAGGUCGCGGGCUAACAUUAAUAUUUAUUGAAAAAUAUCUUCCUCCAGAUAUAAGAAUGAAUCUCUUCUUAUGGACUCAAACAAGUUUUGGUGAAAAACUGAAUGUGGAACAAGCAAAGCUUAAUACUAAACAAUGUAUAUAUUAGCUGUAUAAUACCAGUAGGCCAGCUCUAAUAGUAAUCUGGUAUGGCUUCGCGGGCCAAAUGUAAUUAGGCUGCGGGCCAAAUUUGGCCCGCGGGCCAGAGUUUGACACCUAUGUCCUAUGGCAAUAUACGAAUGUAAUCAAGGAUGUAUUCCUGUGGUUGUUUAAGUGCUUUGAUGUGAUUCUAUUAUCGAAAAUAAAUGGUUAAAUAACCAAAUAUUUUGGACUAUUGGCGGUACAUUUUUGUCUCUUUAGGUACGAAAUAGGUUGUCGCUGGGGGGGUACCCUCAUAGGUACCCUAUUGUACCCUUUUCAAGGGAACAUUUCUGUACUAUAGUUUCAAGGUACA
This is a long non-coding RNA of Astatotilapia calliptera (eastern happy), 1074 nucleotides long. The record is from Ensembl. Lineage: Eukaryota; Metazoa; Chordata; Actinopteri; Cichliformes; Cichlidae.